GAUGAACGCUAGCUACAGGCUUAACACAUGCAAGUCGAGGGGAAACGAUAUUGGAAGCUUGCUUCCGAUAGGCGUCGACCGGCGCACGGGUGAGUAACGCGUAUCCAACCUGCCCAUCACUUGGGGAUAACCUUGCGAAAGUAAGACUAAUACCCAAUGACGUCUCUAGAAGACAUCUGAAGGAGAUUUAAAAGAUUUAUCGGUGAUGGAUGGGGAUGCGUCUGAUUAGCUUGUUGGCGGGGUAACGGCCCACCAAGGCGACGAUCAGUAGGGGUUCUGAGAGGAAGGUCCCCCANAUUGGAACUGAGACACGGUCCAAAACUCCUACGGGAGCAGCAGUGAGGAAUAUUGGUCAAAUGGACGAGAGUCUGAACCAGCCAAGUAGCGUGCAGGAUGACGGCCCUAUGGGUUGUAAACU
This 418-nucleotide ribosomal RNA is filed under the name uncultured bacterium. RNAcentral describes it as "bacterial SSU rRNA". It matches the Rfam family "Bacterial small subunit ribosomal RNA", at positions 28 to 431 of the family's 1533-position model. The record is from RNAcentral.